Molecule: long non-coding RNA, 379 nt
Filed under: Rattus norvegicus (Norway rat)
Lineage: Eukaryota; Metazoa; Chordata; Mammalia; Rodentia; Muridae
Description: long non-coding RNA NONRATT029412
Source: RNAcentral
UUCCUUUUUCGUAGGUGAAAUGUCCCACCAUGAUGUUCUGGAUGCUGCUUCCAAAGGGAUAAAUGUCAUCCUUUGUGAACACAGCAACACCGAAAGAGGCUUCCUUUCUGAUCUUCAAGAAAUGCUGGGUGUUCACUUGGAGAAUAAGAUUAAUAUUAUCCUGUCUGAGACAGACAGGGACCCUCUCCGUGUCGUUUAGAAGGCAAGGACAUUAUGACAGAAGCCUGGACUGAACAGGACUGUGCAGGAGUUGGUACACCACCCUUCUGCAGAACUGUAAUGAACUUCUCAUUUCAGUUUGCUAAUCUGGCUCAACAAAUGUCAUAGCUCAGACGGUAAAACUGUAAAGAGUACAUUAAAGACAAAUCUUGGGGCUGGA